CUAUCAUGCAGUCGAGCGACAGACGAGGAGCUUGCUCCUCUGACGUUAGCGGCGGACGGGUGAGUAACACGUGGAUAACCUACCUAUAAGACUGGGAUAACUUCGGGAAACCGGAGCUAAUACCGGAUAAUAUAUUGAACCGCAUGGUUCAAUAGUGAAAGACGGUUUUGCUGUCACUUAUAGAUGGAUCCGCGCCGCAUUAGCUAGUUGGUAAGGUAACGGCUUACCAAGGCAACGAUGCGUAGCCCACCUGAGAGGGUGAUCGGCCACACUGGAACUGAGACACGGUCCAGACUCCUACGGGAGGCAGCAGUAGGGAAUCUUCCGCAAUGGACGAAAGUCUGACGGAGCAACGCCGCGUGAGUGAUGAAGGUUUUCGGAUCGUAAAACUCUGUU
This 396-nucleotide ribosomal RNA is filed under the name uncultured bacterium. Its description in RNAcentral is "bacterial SSU rRNA". It matches the Rfam family "Bacterial small subunit ribosomal RNA", at positions 50 to 437 of the family's 1533-position model. The record is from RNAcentral.